RNAcentral lists this ribosomal RNA (1374 nucleotides) under Triticum aestivum (bread wheat). Its description in RNAcentral is "partial small subunit ribosomal RNA". Lineage: Eukaryota; Viridiplantae; Streptophyta; Magnoliopsida; Poales; Poaceae. The record is from RNAcentral.
AUGGCGCAUUUCCAGGGCCAGCAGCACGGCCACCAGGCCACCCGCGUCGACGAGUACGGCAACCCUGUGACGGCCGGUCACGGCGUCAUCGGGACCGAAGGCUUGGGGCACUUCCAGGGCCAGGGCCAGCAGCACGGCCACCCCACCACCCGCCUCGACGAGUACGGCAACCCGGUCACGGCCGGCCACGGCGUUGGGCUGGGAUCCACCGGCACCGGAGUGCACGGCGGGUACGGGUCUACCGGCACCGGCACCCACGACACUGGCGGCCACGGCCGCCAGGUCGGUUUCGGUGCCACUGGCACGGGCACCCACGACGCUGGGGGCUAUGGAGGCUCUGGAAUUGCCCCUCGGCACGACACCACCGGCACUGGGGUUCACGACGCCGGUGGGUUGGGCACGCGGCAUGCCGCCACCGGUACCCACGGCACAGGGCACACGGCCGGGUACGGCGCCACCGGGACCCAUGGCACAGGCCACACCGCGGGGCUCGGCGGCACCGGCACAGGGAUGACCGGGACCCAUGGCACAGGCCAUACCGCCGGGCUCGGCAGCAUCGGCACAGGGAUGACCGGGACCCAUGGCACAGGCCACACCGCCGGGCUCGGUGGCACCGGCACAGGGAUGGCCGGGACCCACGGCACAGGCCACACCGCCGGGCUCGGCGGCACCGGCACAGGGAUGACCGGGACCCAUGGCACAGGCCACACCGCCGGGCUCGGCGGCACCGGCACAGGGAUCACCGGGACCCAUGGCACAGGGCACACGGCCGGGUAUGAUGCCACCGGUACUCAUGGCACAGGGCACACGGCCGGGUACGGCACGACCGGCACUGGGACCACCGGCGUCGGGAUCGCCGGAACCCACGGCGCCGUCGGCACACACCCUCAUGGCGGGGUAGCCGAGCACAAGACUCGUGGCAUCCUCCACCGCUCUGGCAGCUCCAGCUCCAGCUCGUCAUCCUCCGAGGACGACGGAAUGGGCGGCAGGAGGAAGAAAGGCAUGAAGCAGAAGAUCAAGGAGAAGCUCCCCGGCGGUAACAAGGAGCAGACCACAGCCACCGGCGGCUACGGGCCAGGGUACACGGGGACCACCGGCACUGGCGGGACCUACGGAGCCACUGAGGGGACACACGAGAAGAAGGGCGUCAUGGAGAAGAUCAAGGAGAAGCUCCCUGGCGGACACAAGGACAACCAGCCCCACACCACGGCUACCGGCGGCUACGGACCUGGCACCACUGGCACCACUGGCACCGGCGGCUAUGGUACAGGCACCACCGGCACAGCGGGGACGUACGGCGCCACUGAGGGCACCCACGAGAAGAAAGGCAUGAUGGAGAAGAUCAAGGAGAAGCUCCCCGGCGGCCACCACUGA